Camellia sinensis is the source of this 402-nucleotide non-coding RNA. NCBI's taxonomy places the organism in Eukaryota, Viridiplantae, Streptophyta, Magnoliopsida, Ericales, Theaceae. The record is from RefSeq and is a predicted model, not a curated record.
GCACUAAAAAAGGUUGAAAAGAGAUGAGUCAAAUGAGGGCAAGACUCUAAGGUUGAAGCAACAGUAUACACUUUGCUCUGCUUCUCUCUAAGAUAUUAUUGCACGAUUUGAGACGAGAUCUAGUGAACCAGUGAACUGGGAUACCUUUCCCAACAAGGUUGCAGUACAAAUGAAUGAUACUCACCCAACACUCUGCAUCCCGGAGCUGAAAUCUCAUAUUGAUGGAUGUGAAAGGUUUGAGCUGGAAGGAAGCUUGGGAGAUAACUAAAAGUUGUGGCCUGAGAAAUUUCAAAAUAAAACAAAUGGAGUGACACCAAGAAGGUGGAUUCGUUUUUGCCAUCCACAUCUAAGUAAAAUCAUAACCAAGUGGACGGGAACAGAAGACUGGUUGAUAAACACUGA